Molecule: ribosomal RNA, 497 nt
Filed under: uncultured bacterium
Lineage: Bacteria
Description: partial 16S ribosomal RNA
Rfam family: Bacterial small subunit ribosomal RNA
Source: RNAcentral
GAUGAACGCUGGCGGCGUGUCUAAUACAUGCAAGUCGAGCGCUCAGGCGAGGUGCUUGUUCCUCCGACGUUAGCGGCGGACGGGUGAGUAACACGUGGAUAACCUGCCUUUAAGCGGGGGACAACAUCGGGAAACCGAUGCUAAUACCGCAUAAAAACUUGAAACACAAGGUUCAAUAGUGAAAGACGCAUUUGCAUCACCCUAUAGAGAGACCGCGUCGGAUUAGCCAGGUUGGGAGGGAAACGGCUAACAAAGGCAACGUAGAGAACCGGACCUGAGGGGGGGACGGGCCACACUGGAACGGGGACACGGUCCAGACCCCUACGGGGGGCAGCAGAGGGGAAUCUUGGCAAAUGGGCGAAGGCCUGACGGAGCAACGCCGGGUGGGUGAGGAAGGUCUUCGGAUCGUAAAACUCUGUGAUUGGGGAGGAACAAGGGGGUAAGUAACUGUGCACGUCGUGACGGUACCUAAUCAGAAAGCGACGGCUAACUACGUG